AUGUGCUGGAAGCUCUCUUUGGGUUGCUAGGAAACGGGCUGACCUUUGCUGGGGUUGCUAGGUAACAUGCAGUGCCAGCUGACUUAUGACAUUACAUUCUGGAGGUUUUUAAAUGGCUCUUUUUCCUGACUUUAGCCAAACUGUAACUUCAGGACGAUGGAAGGUUUCAGACGCUCAGCCUGCAGUCUGAUGUCGACACUGCGGGUAUGAAAGAGGAGAAACACGAGGAGCGUCACGACCUGCAACAAACUGAGACAAACAGUUUCCAUAACAACAUGUCAAUAAUGAAGCCGCUUCACAACCAACGUUUCUGUUCUGGUUGACAGAGAGUUCAAGGGUCACCAGUCAGAUGUUUGGCUGUUUUUUUUUUUUUUUUUUUUUUGGGAUUUUUCCUUUUUGUUUCUCCUUUGUUCUUCCAGGUUAAAGGUCAUUGAUGCCACAUCUGCUCAGCUUUACAUGCCAGCUGUGUUUAGUGAUCAGACAUCAGGAUGGUUUCACCUCUGCAGCUGGAGGUGGACAGGAGGAUCACCGUGUGACUGGAUCAUAGACCAGAGGAACAUCAACAUGGAGAAAGAGAGGUGACUGUCUAAGAACCAGACCUUUGCCAGGAAACAAUCAAACCAGGUGGCCACAUCAUCCUCCAUGGAGAGGUUAAAGGGCAUCAGGCCUCAGGCAGUCAGGGCUGCCAGGGGCACCAGCUUAAAAGUUAGACAUCACCAAUAAAGAUCUGGGAAUGUUGAAGAAACCAGUCGCUGGCCCUAAAAGACUGAAAUAUUUCAAUAUUUGAGUCUUUUAGGAUAAAAGAACAAAAGUAGGAUCCUGAAGAUGCUCUGAUGGACUUCAGUCAGAACAACCCAGGAUGCAAAUGUCAUGUGGAAGGAGGCAAAGGAGGAGAUCCAUCAGGGAAACUAUUGGGAAGCUUAGCAGACAUGAUGACAGAACAAAGAACAGCAAGCUUACAGGAUCUGGAGGAAGAGCAGGUUCUGCCAAGUCCUGGAUUGAAACCACAUCCUGAAAUCUGCACCGUGAAGAGCUGCCACUACCAGAACCUACAUGACCAACUGGAUCCACCAGCAGAAGCAAACACCACUCAAGAUAUCGGACACAUUAUACAAACCAAGGGAGAUGAGGAGGAGACUGUGAGGCUGACCAGGGAUCCUCCGCAGGUGGUCUACGUAUUUCGCCAUCAUCAACAACGUUUCAUCAUUUCCUGCCACCAAUCCUGGAAUCUGUGCUGCAGAAAUCCACAGCUGAAGCAAACCAGGUCAGAAUGAAGAGCAGCAAACCCAUGGUCCCAUGAUCUGUGGAAGAUGUUGGGAGGUCACAGCUCUACCUUCUUACUGUCUUUAACCAGAUUGUUUCCAGGAACUAACCUCCCCAAACAAACAGUUUCCAUUGGAAAGGCAAAGGGGAACGUCACAGAGUGCACCUAGGCUGGUAAAACUCCUGAGUCACAGCACACCGCCUCCCUGCUGAGGGAGAAACAUCCAGAAUCAGCCAAGAAGCUCCACAUUCCUCCAGGCCACUAGGGGGAGUCUUGAGUAUGUAAUAUUACCUGUGUAAAUAUGCAGCUGUUCUAUAUUGUAAAAUACUUUAUAACACACAUUCUCUUUCUUCCUCCAGUCUUCUAAACAUCCUUUUAAAUCAUGACAUCCUGUUUGAUUUGGUUGUCGACUCCCCCUAGUGGUCUGGAGGACUUCUACUUUGUGGAUCAAGUUUCCAGGAUUUCAUAUGAUGUUACUGAUAUUUGCAGAAUUUUAUUUUUGGUUCCUGUUUGCAUCAUUCAUCUGUUUGCGGGAUGUUUGCUGUGUGAACAAACCAUCAUACAGAAGAGUUAAGGUUCAGCUCUUUACUCCUCAUUUCAGUGAAAAACAAAAGGAAGCAAGAUAACUGUAACUGUUUCACAGGGUUUGAACUGUUUCAUAUGUAGCUCUUCAUGCUCUAUGCAGCAGAAAAUAAUCAGACGUGUUGAUUUGGCUUCCUGUCUGCUGCAGGUAGUAACAGGCUGCGUCCUCCUGCAGCGCUGAGCUUCGGCUGACGGUUUGUUCAGUCAUUUAUUAGUUGUGCAGACAUGAAGCAACUCUUAAUUGACUGUGGCACCAGGAACUCCCCCCACCCCCACUACCAUGUGAACAUGUGCUUAAAGUUUAUUCAAUUCCUCUGGGAGCUCCUUCAGGUCAACUGUUACUGUGGAGCUAAAAACAGAAAAGAGGAAAACGAAAGAAAGGAACUGUGACAUUUUAUAACACAGUCAGUGAUGCACUGACUGGAAGAAACCAGAUUUUACUGAUUUUAGCCUCAAACUGAACCUGGAGAUCUGAGUAUAAAAUGUAAAUGAGACUGUUCAAAAACCCGCCUGAUUAACGCAGCGUUAUGAGUCUCUGGCUGUCAGAUGCUCCAGUUACUGUCUGUAACGUCUCUACACUUAUUGGCACCACUGACGCCCUCUGGUGGCCAGUCUGGGAACUCCAGUCUCCUUUCUUGAGCCAAUUUCAGCACAAUCAGCUCGUUUUGUCUGUGAACAAAUUAUUUAAAAUAUUUAUUUUAACUUAAAACAUUUAAAUAUUUAUUCUGCUCUCAGUCUCAAUGUAAAGGUGGAAAUAAUCAUAUCAACAGAUCUGAAUAAAUUUGCAGAAAAAACACUUUACAAAAAAGUGUUUUCAGUA
Molecule: long non-coding RNA, 2666 nt
Organism: Poecilia latipinna (sailfin molly)
Lineage: Eukaryota; Metazoa; Chordata; Actinopteri; Cyprinodontiformes; Poeciliidae
Exons: 2
Source: RefSeq, a predicted model, not a curated record